ACGGGCGCAGCAGGCGCGAAACCUUUACACUGCACGACAGUGCGAUAGGGGAUCCCAAGUGCACAGGCAUAGCGCCUGUGCUUUUCGGCACCUAAGGCGGUACCAGAAUAAGGGUGGGCAAGACCGGUGCCAGCCGCCGCGGUAAUACCGGCAGCCCAAGUGAUGGCCGAUCUUAUUGGGCCUAAAGCGUCCGUAGCUGGCCGCGCAAGUCCAUCGGGAAAUCCACUGCUCAACAGGUGGGCGCCCGGUAGAAACUGCGUGGCUUGGGACCGGAAGGCGCGACGGGUACGUCCGGGGUAGGAGUGAAAUCCCGUAAUCCUGGACGGACCGCCGAUGGCGAAAGCACGUCGCGAGAACGGAUCCGACAGUGAGGGACGAAAGCCAGGGUCUCGAACCGGAUUAGAUACCCGGGUAGUCCUGGCCGUAAACAAUGUCUGCUAGGUGUGGCUCCCACUACGAGUGGGUGCUGUGCCGUAGGGAAGCCGCUAAGCAGACCGCCUGGGAAGUACGUCCGCAAGGAUGAAACUUAAAGGAAUUGGCGGGGGAGCACUACAACCGGAGGAG
This 564-nucleotide ribosomal RNA is filed under the name Halorubrum sodomense. RNAcentral's name for it is "bacterial SSU rRNA". It matches the Rfam family "Archaeal small subunit ribosomal RNA", at positions 325 to 893 of the family's 1478-position model. The record is from RNAcentral. Lineage: Archaea; Methanobacteriati; Methanobacteriota; Halobacteria; Halobacteriales; Haloferacaceae.